AUUACUAAAGAACUUAUUCUUGUAACCAAACACCACCUGUUCCCCAAAAACCUAUUUAAAUUAAAAAAAAUAGAGCUGUUUAAUAUAACAAAUGUAGAAUGAAUGCAAAGAGAAAAUGAAUGCCUCUUGGGUACCAGCUGUGUGGCAAGCACUGUGCUGGCCCUUCAUGGCAACUAUGAGGAAACUGAGGUUGAAGACAUUGUAUCUCUUGUUUAAGAUCUCACAGUACCAAUUGACAGUUCUAGGAUUUGUUCUAUUCCAGAGCCUACAAGUUUUCCACCAAUCUAUGUUCCCUCCCUCAGCAUAAUUAAUAAUUGUUAUACUAUAAGGCUAAACUAAAUUUAUAUCAAGAUGUCCCAGAGAGUUAUAUCUUAUUUGUUAACCAUUAACUUUUCCCAAUCAGACACUUAAUGCAGCACUAGUUCCAUCUUAAGACUAGAACAGAACACCAUGGAUGAUGAUUUUGAACCUCUUUUGGCCAGAAAUGUGCCCAGAGUUCUAAACCUUGGACAGCUUUGCAUCAAGACCUUUGGAGGCAGCUUUCACCUACUCAUAUACGUGAUUCACCAUCUCCAUGGGGCCCUCUUUUCUUGAUUAUUAGGUCUGACUUUAUUUACAGCUGAAAUGUGAUUCCCUUUUAUGAAGAUCAUUUUUUAUUCCAAAAAAGACCUUGGGUAUUAUGUCCUGUUCUCAUGGUCAGAAAUCUGAAUGCUUCAAUAUACUGCAUUUUGCUUUUCUUUCAUAGCCAAAUAAAAGAGAAAGACCACAGUUAUACAUAGUGUGUCAGUCUGGCUCACUCAGAUUAUGUUUGUAAAAUUCCUUUUUCUAUAGAGCUAAUAUUUACUCAGCACUGAUGUCCCAGGCACCAUAUGGUAUCCCAGGGACCAUACUAAGCCCUUUCUAUGGAUGGUCUCUCUUAAGACUCAGAAUAACCUUUUGUUUAUAAACUGUCACAUAGGAGGGUCAAACAACUCAGCCUGGUUCAUACUGCCAUCAAAAAGCAAAGCUGAGCUUCGAACCCAGGCUGUGUGUGCAAAUCCCUGAGCUUUCAAACCACUGUGCAUGCUGUCUCCCAACUCUUUGUUUUUUCUGUGCCUUUCUCUAGCCAGGAGGUUUUUCUCCACCUGCCCAUUUAUCUUCCAUAAUUCUUGCUCUUGGGACAGAUGAUUUCCAAGGUCCCUUCAAGUAUUGAAAUUCCAUGACUGAUUAAAAAUUAUAAUGUAUGCAGUUUGAUUAAUUUGCACUAAUGCCUGAGUUCAUUCACAAUGUUAAUUUCUUUACAAGGUUCCAACAGUUUUUUAACUUACAGAUCUCCUUCUGAUGUUAAAGGAAUCAUGCUGCUUUUCCUAUAAUAAUAUUUAAGUCCCCAGUUUUAAAAACAUAAGGUUUAAAAAUAUAUCUGAAAGGAUUUUACCAUGCAUGCAACACACCAAUUUUCCAUAUGGACCAAAAUAGUCUUUUUAAGACCCUGUUCUCUCAGUUGUCUUUCCCAAGUCUCACAGAUGCAGUGCUAAUUGCAUGCAGCUUCAGGUCCUUUAUAACAUGAGGUAACAAUUUCAGUGUCUUGGGCUUGAAUGCUGCAUUUGUUAGACAUGCCAGGCCUGGAAUUGGUGUCAGCUCGUCAGGAUGCUGAAUCCACAUGGAGAGCAACUCAUCUGAACGUUGGGAAGCUUCCUGGAGAAACUCCUGUUGUGCUCCUCUCAGGCAUGGCGUGAGAGCCAGUGGUGUGACUGGUUCCUUAGCUAGGAUGCAUCUUGGUCAGACUUGGCAGCACUGGGUGAUGGCUCUUUGGGACCAGUGCAGGUAUUUGAGUCUCUCUAGUCAAGUUGUACUUGUUGAAGAAUGAUUCCAGAAGUGACGUUUAUUCACAGACCUACUACUUGGGCUACUUGGGCUAGCUCCAAGUGUCUGAGUGGCUCGGCGGCUGAAGGCAGACUGCACUUGGGACACAUCUAAAAUUCAUUCUGACUGGAUUGAGAAAACAAGGAGACCAAAAAGAAAAGAAGUGGCAGGAUUCUGCAAUCACAUCUGUAACUGAGGAGCCACGGGAUAUAACUUUGGAGAAUAUCUUGACCUGAUCUUGCUUUGCAGCUUGUCUGUAGUUCUAGUCUUUAGAGUCGCGGAAGCCUGAGUUCCCACCAAGCUCAGCUCUUAAUGGCUGUGUGAUAAUGAAGACGUCACUUGAUCUUCCUGAGCCUCAGUUUCUUCAUCUGUAAAUUGGGAUGAGAUACCUCCCUCAUGGGUCUGUUGUGAGGACAACAUGUGAUGAUCCUGCCAAAGCUCUCUAGGCACUCUGUGCUUAGCUGUGUGGCCAAUGCACAGUCAGCAGCGACACGAUGCUAUUUUUACUGCCUUCUUUCCCUCUUUCCCCAAGAGGACACACUCCUCUAGAAAAAUAAGGUUCAUGCAAACCUGCACUUUAAGAGCAUUUAUACAGAUGUGCACGAUGCAGUGCAUGUGUCUUGAUGGGGCUUUGUUAAAUUGAAUUUUAAAAUUGUGUUUUAAAUAUACUUAGGGAAGUACAGAAAGGUACCCCAGAACAGGUUGUUUUAUAAAGACAACAAUAAUUUCUGAAUUAUUUUCAUUUCAGCUUUUUAUAUACUGUGUAGUCACAAAAUGAGAGACCCUCCCCCACUCACCCCACCCUCACAGCUCCCCAGAGGAACAAUAGCCAUGAGCAAACAGUGCUUGCCUCCUGACCUUCGGGUGUUUCUCCUAAAGGCUAGCUCAUUUAAGGGCAGCAGUCAGGGGCUUGCUACUCUUCGCAGCCCUGUUUCUUUUCUUGUGAUGAGAAGAAACAAGCCCAGGCUGACAGCUGGCCAAGACUUGAACUAGAAUGUUGAAGUUGAAAAGUCAAAAUGGGUCUGUGUCAAAGGACUAGCAGAGGGGAAGGGACUGUCCUCCGGGGAGCUGAGGAGUGAGGAUGGUCCUCACCUCGAUCCAGCGAUCAAAUUCCCCAAGUAAAUCCAUGUAAAACAUGAACUGUGGCCAGCACUUGUUAAGCAAGGAAUAUUAAAAAUCAUUGUCAUUACUGCUGCUAUUAUUGUUACAGGCUUGUUCCAAGACUCUGGGUUUUGGCUCAGCUUGUCUAAAUGGUCUUCCAUCUUAAGGAAUCAAGGGGUAGAUUUUGGAACCACUAGCUCCAUAGCCAAAGAAGGAGCAAUCCAGCAACUUAGGCAUUGAUUCCGCAAGCCGUCCCAGAGCCUCUGUGUAGUCCUUACUUUCCCUAAAUUGCCAUGACUAGCUGGCUCAAGUUAGGCCUUUCUAAUUUACCUGGACCGUUGCUGUCUCCUGUGCACGGCUGCGGGGAUGAGCACCUUGUUGUGCGUUCCUCCGCUGGGCUGACGGAAAUGGUUUGCAGCCAGACUGCUACGCCACGCGGUCUGGCAUUUAGUCCUCAGAAAUCUGAUUUAGAGAACGUAUACAUUGCAUCACAAUCUAGAUUUCAGAGGAAAGUUUUGGAUAGAAUAACCCAGACCCAAGUCUGGGUAAUUUAAAGCCUGGGUGAAAUGGGGCAGAAAGAGCCCAGAAUAUACAGGCUAGAGAAACUCAGGAACUACUGACCCACAGGGAAGGCAAGCGGAGAUAUGAGACGGAGGAAUCAAACGCUGCCCUGGUGGAGGACGCUGUGGGUUUACAGUGGAUGAUUUCCUCUGCCUAUGAGAUAAAAGGGCUGGCUCUGUACUUUGAACCCCAGCCUCACCCACCUCUGCCUGGGUGUGGCUCUUACUCUCUGGAAGACUUACUCAGGGGAGAGGACAGGACAGUGUGAGGCUUGAAUCUCCAGGAAAUAGAGUCUGUGGGCAGCCAUUGACUCCGAGUCAAUGAGAACAAGGUGUGCUGUUUCCUCUGUGCUGUUUCUUCCCUGCCCCACUCCCCGCCCCUUUGUCCUAUGGUGCCCAGGCUGCCUGCACUGCCCAGAUACCACAGGCCUUGCCAGGGACCUCCUGAGAGGUUUCUGAGGCUUGCAGCCAGUGGUCCCGUUAGUCUGCACGUCUCCGAGUUGCCCUCCCAGAGGAGAAAGCAUAUGCUGCUGGGACCGACUGCAGCUCCUCAUGGAUGCACCUGCCACCAGAAAAUUGUUGUUCAGUCUGGGAUUGCUUUCUCUUCCCAAAGCACAAUCUCACAUGCAGUCAUGAGCCCAGUCCAGCCUCUGGGACAGAAGAUUUCGUGCUUUUAUAAACCAACAGCACUGCAGGUGCUGCACAAGGAAUGGAAAAUCAAUCUGAGUGUCAUUAAGAGCAUACUCCCUGAAGAAGAUUGCUGAUGACAGUGGAUUUGUCACCCAGCUCAGUGUCUUUUCCUGAGCAAUAGGAAUUUCUUCCAUGGGGAAUGAAACCUAGUGUUGUUUCCCUGUCUGAAUCCAGGCCUUUCACUGACCUGCCAAGUUUUCAUUCCAUUGUCUCACUGUCAUUGGCUGAUCUGAUCUCUACAUUGAUUAAUUAGUUUCAAGCCCCUUCAUACUGAUCUAAUAAAAUUGGCUUGUUUAAUUUGUGUCAGGAAAUUUCUGAGAAUGUUUCAUUUAGACUCUGAUAAGGUACAUUUUUUUUUUAAUGUCCUGCCGGAGACAUCCCUUACGAGGGAGAGCUUGUCCUUCCUGCCAUCUCUUGAAUUACGCAGAGCAAACGCUGAAAGGAUGGCGGGAUUUCCUGCUGCCAGGGUCAAAUGCUUCCACAACAAGCAGAUCUGUCUUUCAGGGUGCAGUUUUUUAUGUCCUCUCACCAGAAACACAUGAGAAUGCCAUCUUUCCACCUCUAGAGGUUGUCUGAGCUGCUGGUAAGCAUCAAAACAUAGCCAUCGAGAGCCAGGACAGAGCCACGGCCACUUCACCAGCUCCAGUCUCAUGCCACUUGAUUUAUAAAUGCCUUUUUUUUAAUGGGCUGUCAUCCCCUCAGGAGAGGUUGGAGUAAAAGUCUCAAAGUUGAGUGUUUGCUCUUCUGUCACAAAGAGAAAUGGAUGGGAAGAACAAUACAAAUGGCCUACAGGCGAGCAGGGGACUCUGCAGAGCCGAGCCCCAUCCUGGUCUGAUUCAGGCACUCAGUAAGCCUGAAUGGGGCGCGGUUACUGGGGCGUGGUUACCCGCUGGCUGGGAUGAGAAUUCUCAUAACUACUUUCCCAGUCGGCAACUGCCAGGAUGCAGGGAGCUUGUUUAGUUAACACUAUGAGACCACUGGAUCCAACUAAUCUCUAUUUGCCUGUCUCCCCUAAGAUAACUUUCAUAAAAAUGUGUAAACAUGUUCUGAGAGUCUUCUGAAAAUUCCCUCAAAGCCCCCUGACCGCCUGCCCUCUAGCUGGGGCUGUGGGGGCGGUGGCUGAGGCGCCCCCCUCCGUGGGAGGCUCCUCAUACAUCUCUGUCAGGAAAGGCAAGAGCCGCAGCCAGAAAUGAGCUCCCCCAACAAAGCAGCCUCCCUGUGUGCUGCUGUGCAAGCUGCAGCAUUUGGCUGAUUCAUUUGUCUUCAUUAAUGUUGCUUAUAGCGGAGGCCUUUGUCACAUAUAUGAUUAUGUGAGAUUCGAUUCUCUCGAAUGUGUAAACACAGAGCUCUAGUGCGAGGCUCCAAGCAGGCAGCAGCCUGAAGCAGCUUUUCUGGCUGUUGGGGAGCCGGCUUAUGUGAUCAGCCCCUAGGGAUGGGGCCGUACUGUCAGGGACUGGUUCUUGCAGUGAUAAGGGAAGAGCUGCCUGGCUCUUCCGCCCCAGGCCUCAGGGCUUGCCUCUCCCUCCAGUCCCCUCAUAGAGUAUAUCCUCCCCCAUGCCUCCUUCCCCUCCACGCCACAUGCCCCAGGCUCCCUGAACAUUACCACCUUAAUGUCUCCUAGCUUCGUUUCUUCCUGCCUCCCCUUCCAGGGUCCCACCUUCAUCUCAGGCCUUCAUCAUCCCGAGGCUGGAUUCCUGCAACAGCUUCUUAAUCAUACUCCCUCCCUCCGGUCUUGUUUCCCUCCAACCUGUUUGACACCCUGCUGAUAUCUUAAUCUCUAAAAUGCAUAUCAGUUUGGGUUGUUCCCCUUCUCUAGGAAAAGGUCAAACUGUUUAAUAGAAUGGUCUAGGAGGCUCUUUAGGACUAGGCUCCCAGAACCAUUUCAAGCAUCAGCCCACCAAUGUGCUCAUUCUCCUACCCCUCUCUUCCUCCCUGUUUUGGGGUUAUACUUUGCCACAGGGUUCCAAAACAAUUCUAAUUCAUGCCUCAUAUCUUAGGCCUUUUAGAUAAAGCAAUUUUUAAGAUUUUGAAUUUACCCACUCCACUAUUUCUCAGAUUAAAAUGAGAACUUGGGAGGCCGGACCAAGUGAAAUGUCCAUGUCACUGUUUUACUAGGCAUCAUUCUGCAGGUUUCUUUUUGAGCUGUCCUACUCAGGCCACUUUAGUGCAGGAAAAAGAAGUCAUUACCAGAGGAAAGAAGGAAGGGACGCUUAUUGAAGGAUGUGCACGUGUGGAACCCAGAGAAGUCUGGCUUCAGGAAGGGCGAAACCAGGACAAUACUAGAGCCCGGCUGCACCCCGUGGCCUCUUUGCCUCUUUCUGUCCUCCUUGCUUUCUCGUGACCAGCAUCCUCUGUUUACUCAUCUUGUACACAACCCAGAAUAGCAGCCACAUGCCAGGGUCUACAUGAACUUCUGAAUUAGCACCCACCACCCACUACGGCUUCCUAUUUUCUAAGAAUGUAAUGGUGCCGAGUCAUCUCUCUGUGGAUUGGUUGUCCUUGGCUCAGAACUCCUUCCCACUCUCUUCCCCCAUAGCUUGGACCCAAGCUGGGGGCCACAGGGGUCUCCUGCCUUCUUAUUAGGCUGGGAGUGGGGCAGCUUCUCAAUGAGAGGCUACAGUGGUUUGCCGGGGCUGAUGUAACAAAGUACCACACACUAGGUGGCUUGAACAGCAGAAAUCUAUUGUCUCAGUUCUGGAGGUUAGAAGUCCAAAAUCAAGGUGUCAGCAGGAAUGCAGUCUUUCUGUUUUGUAAGACUUGUAGGGAAAGAUCAUUUAUACCAAGGAUUGGUCUAUAACCCUGAAAGCAAAUGUGAAUGUGGUCAAUAAUAACUACACUGGGCAGAUCAUACUGUACACCACUGUUGUGCAUUGUCAAAACAUUUUCACAUACAUUGUUUUAUUUGAUCCUAGCAAUAACUCUGUGAAGUAGGAAAAGUAGAGUUUUGCUGUAUUCUCUAUGCCUCCAUUUCUUCAUCUGUGAAAAGAGGAUAGUAAUGAUACCUACUCAGAGGAUCGUUGCAUGAGUCAAACGCAUUAAUACUGUAAAGCACUGGCACCCAGACCCACAGCAGAGCUGAGGCUGGCCCUCAUGGCUCAGGGGUGGGCAGACCAAAUGUGAAGCCAGAAAGGAGGUACCUCUCCAUUCCUGUCCCCUAGUCCUGUCUUAAUAUCCUAAGGUUACUUGGCUAAAGGCUCGUAUAAUGCUAUUUCUUUAAACUGUGUUUUCACUUAUUUUAUUUCCUGUCAAAGCUACAGGCAUACCUUGUCUUACUGCCCUUUACUUUAUUGCCGUACACAGAUAUUGCUCGCUUUCUCUCUCUUUCCUUCCUUCCUUCUUUCUUUCUUUCUCUUU
This 7547-nucleotide long non-coding RNA is filed under the name Homo sapiens (human). RNAcentral describes it as "HSALNT0376254". The record is from RNAcentral. Lineage: Eukaryota; Metazoa; Chordata; Mammalia; Primates; Hominidae.